This 498-nucleotide ribosomal RNA is filed under the name uncultured bacterium. Its description in RNAcentral is "partial 16S ribosomal RNA". It matches the Rfam family "Bacterial small subunit ribosomal RNA", at positions 29 to 523 of the family's 1533-position model. The record is from RNAcentral.
AUUGAACGCUGGCGGCAUGCCUUACACAUGCAAGUCGAACGGUAACGCGGGGCAACCUGGCGACGAGUGGCGAACGGGUGAGUAAUGUAUCGGAACGUGCCCAGUUGUGGGGGAUAACUGCUCGAAAGAGCAGCUAAUACCGCAUACGACCUGAGGGUGAAAGCGGGGGAUCGCAAGACCUCGCGCAGUUGGAGCGGCCGAUAUCAGAUUAGGUAGUUGGUGGGGUAAAGGCUCACCAAGCCAACGAUCUGUAGCUGGUCUGAGAGGACGACCAGCCACACUGGGACUGAGACACGGCCCAGACUCCUACGGGAGGCAGCAGUGGGGAAUUUUGGACAAUGGGCGCAAGCCUGAUCCAGCCAUGCCGCGUGCGGGAAGAAGGCCUUCGGGUUGUAAACCGCUUUUGUCAGGGAAGAAAAGACUCCUGUUAAUACCGGGGGUUCAUGACGGUACCUGAAGAAUAAGCACCGGCUAACUACGUGCCAGCCGCCGCAGUAA